This is a non-coding RNA of Cinara cedri, 250 nucleotides long. The record is from the annotation of a GenBank genome assembly. NCBI's taxonomy places the organism in Eukaryota, Metazoa, Arthropoda, Insecta, Hemiptera, Aphididae.
UUCAGCCGAGUAGAAUAUUCGUGAGCCAGACCGCCCCACGCGCCGAGAGGGUCAGAUCGAGUGAUAAUAAUUAUCGAAUUUCGACGCGUCCGCGCGGGUGUCCGUUUUAUAUAUUACAGUCCCCCGGAAAAGGCGGCAAGGCGUAUUUCGGUGUACUUGCGUUAUAAAUUAUUAUUACCGUCGGAAGUCGGCGAAUGAUAAUGGUAUUACACAUAUACUCGACCCGAAUGCGUGGUUAGGUUUGCGGCUU